AAGUUUAGACAAUACUAUGUACAAUCAAGCACAAAAAGUACACAGUGUAUGAUCUGAAUAUAGUAAACGUGUAUGGCAAGGCUAGUUCAAAUGAAUGUAACAACAGGUCUCUAAUACAGGUUGACUGUAAAUGUAUGGAAGUGUAUUUGAAAAAUAGCAAUUUUCAAACAUUGGCAAAGAUUUUUUUGAAAUGUGUUGUUAUUAUUAACAUUAAAAGGAACAACAGAAAAGGGUUGUUAUUAUUAACAUUAAAAGGAACUGCCAAAGUACAAAAUAUUUAAGGUUUUUUUUUAAAGAUGAGGAUUUUCAGUUCUUAUAUACAAAUAUAUAAACAAAGAAGAAAACGUCAUAACGGAUUGACCUUAUAUUUGGUACAUGUGCUAUCUACAGUUUUGGCAUUCUCAUAGGCAUCUAAUACAAUGGGCUGUCCCUUCAUUCAUAGAAGGACAAGAAGAGACAAGACAAGAAGCGGAGUGGUUGGUGGAGAAGGUAGAAAGACAUGAUAGAUUGUGAGAGAGUGUGAGAGAGUGUGAAAGAGAGUGAAUGAAAAAAAUGAAA
Spea bombifrons (plains spadefoot toad) is the source of this 558-nucleotide long non-coding RNA. RefSeq lists it as uncharacterized. The record is from RefSeq and is a predicted model, not a curated record. The transcript is spliced from 2 exons. NCBI's taxonomy places the organism in Eukaryota, Metazoa, Chordata, Amphibia, Anura, Pelobatidae.